CCUAUCGCUGUUAGAUGCUUUAUAAUCCUCGACGCACUUCCUUGAAAGGCAUACGUGUGCGAAGAGGGUGGGAUGUAAUCCGUGAAAACUCGCGCUGGAAUAAAUAGUUUAGCAUUUAAAGGAGAUAUACUACUCCAACCAACCAACCAACCAAUCAAUCAAUCAAUAAAAGUAUCUAAGAGGGGAGCCAUGUUAGCCGGCUGCAACAGGCAUCCUGAAGAUGUAAGGACUUGACAUAAGCUUUUGGAAACUUAUUAGAUUCAUGAAGUGUGACCUCAAAAAUAACGCAUGGAGGUACUUUCCUUGCUGAAUCAUGUGUUGUUGCAGCAGUAACAGCUGACUGCUGUGUUUGUGUUCCAAGAAAAGGAAUGGUUGACAUCACACAACAAAACAAUUUAAGAAGAAGGGAAUGGAUUAUUCAGCAUUUUUCCUGCCUCAAGUUCAACAGGUUUAUUACUGGAAAAUAAAGAAGAGUUCCGUUGGCGACCCGAGGUGCUAAAAUCUCAACACCAACAAAGCAAGUGUGCAUAAGAAUAUAGAGAGAAUGAAACGCAACCAAAGGGGAAGUAAAAGGGGUUCAGAAGUGUUUUUUGACAAA
This is a non-coding RNA of Pogona vitticeps (central bearded dragon), 598 nucleotides long. The record is from RefSeq and is a predicted model, not a curated record. NCBI's taxonomy places the organism in Eukaryota, Metazoa, Chordata, Lepidosauria, Squamata, Agamidae.